Pyrus x bretschneideri (Chinese white pear) is the source of this 1737-nucleotide long non-coding RNA. RefSeq lists it as uncharacterized. NCBI's taxonomy places the organism in Eukaryota, Viridiplantae, Streptophyta, Magnoliopsida, Rosales, Rosaceae. The transcript has 3 exons. The record is from RefSeq and is a predicted model, not a curated record.
UCGGAGUCCAAGUGGAAAUCCCGGGUCAGGGUGUGUCACUUAUUAUGUAAUGUUGCCAUUAAUGCAUCCAAUCAUCAUACAAUAAGUUGUUUAGUAAAGAUUAUGUUCUCUAUUUUUAAACACAUAAAAACAAUUUAAGGAAUGCGUAGCACUCAUAAUAAAAAGAAAAAGAAAAAGCCUUUUGCAUGCACAGCAGUGCGUGCAGGAAGGCUAGUACAUAUUAGAAAGCCUGAAGUAAGUUUUUUGGUGUCUCAAAGCUUCACAAAAAAGAAGUAGACAUUAGAGCCCCUAAAACAACAAAAGUUAUAACUAAAGUAAAUUAUGAAUCUAAAUGUUCCAUGGGCAUUUGUGUAAAUAAAAAAACCUUCAAACAUGGGAAAAGGUCCUAGAAAACUGCACCACAUUUCAUACAAAACAGUUUCCCUCAAAUAGUGUAACUUCCGUAAAUCCUAUUUCAGACCUCGCACUUCCUUGGCAAUUAGAACUUAGAACCCUAUAUGUAUAUUUAGCCAAUUGGUAAAAUUUAAUUGGCAAUACAUUGCAGUGGAAGCCUUUUUACUGACGUUUUUCAUGUUAUUUUGGCAUGCUUUUUUAGCAUUGGGAUUUAUCGAGUUUAGAUUGCAGAAAGCGAGGAUAAGAGAAUAAUUAGAGCGUAUGCAAUGGUGUUGGAUACGUAUGAAGAAGAAAUAGUUUAUUGAGUUUAGAUUGCAGAAAGCAAGGAUAAGAGAAUAAUUAAAGAGUUUGCAAUGGUGUUGGAUGCGUAUGAAGAAGAAAGAGGGAAGAAAUCCGUGAUUCCCAUAUCUGAAAGGUUCAUGGCGAUGAAAGCUACUAUUGACAAACAAUUCAGGUUUGAAAUCUUUUGGUACCAAAUUUGGUUUCAACAUGUUCCAAAUUGACAUUUUUCUUAAAAACAGUCCAGCCGGCGUUGAACAGCCAUUUGAUUUCGGGUCAUCUGAGUUUUUUCUUUAUCGUAACUGAAGAAAGAUACAGGUUGUUGUUUUGUUAAUGACGGUGGAUGAUUUAGAUGAAAGUAUGUAUCUUGGGAAUUGUUUUGCUUUCAGUUGUUUAGGCCCAAACUGAAGAAGUUUUGUGGAAUGAGAUUCUUAUACCAAAUUGCUUCUCCGUUCAUUGUGGUUCAACAAGUAGGUGAUUUCUUUUUGCCCAAGCUUGAGUACUCUCAAGAUUAUUGCUCAAGUUACAACCCAGGGCAAUUUGAAGACUAUUUCUGAAGUAUGACAUGAUCUCCUCUUCCAUUCUCUAUUAAUUUUUAUUUUACUAGAUAAAAAUAUCAAUCCUUGCAAGUGCAUUAUUUCACUUGAACAAAUGUUUACCUGUACCAAAGGAUGCAAGGCCAGCAAUACUGGGGAUGUGGAGUGAAGAGCAAGCCUAAAUACUUUCACUACUUUCUUAAAAUUGUCAUUAAAAAUUGCCGUGUGCAAAUGCAUGAAAUCCUCACUAUUUGUAGAGUCUAGCAGUGGUACGGGCAGUAACAGUGACUUCAAACCCUCUGGUAUGGAAACAAUUUAUUAUAUACAAGAAAGAUUUGCUUUCAGAUUCAAUCAGCUAUUAUAAGAAUAUGAAUUGAAUUCCUUGGUGAUUUCACAGUAAUAUGAUAUCAUUUCCAACUUUAUUGUUGUCUUCCAUGGGAACUAAGUCUCUUUCUACAUGGUGUCAUUGUCCCCUAGACCUAAGAACGCCUUAUCCCUUAAGCGCAAGUCCACCCAAGUAAUGCAAUAA